Lutra lutra (Eurasian river otter) is the source of this 341-nucleotide long non-coding RNA. RefSeq lists it as uncharacterized. The record is from RefSeq and is a predicted model, not a curated record. Lineage: Eukaryota; Metazoa; Chordata; Mammalia; Carnivora; Mustelidae. The transcript is spliced from 3 exons.
GAAAAGUGGAAACGGAUUCAUAUGAUGAAGAAAUACACUGAUCUCCUAUUGGCUUUUGCUAAUACUGGACCCAGCACAUUGCCAGACACAUAGUAGGCACUCAGUUUACAUAAUGAAUGGAUUGAUGAAGAAGGAUCGGAUUUGACACCAAUCCUGUAUGAUAUAAGAGGACCUGGACUGGACUGAGGAGAGAAACACCCACCAGUCACACCUGGUAACCAACAGAUAAGGAAUAAUCAGUCCCGGAAUGUGGUGUUAUUUUAUUGUUGCAACUAAUUGUUAAGAGCCAACCUCAAUGCAAAGUGUGGAAAUGUACUCAACCUAUGGGAACACAAAAGACA